RNAcentral lists this ribosomal RNA (500 nucleotides) under uncultured bacterium. RNAcentral's name for it is "partial 16S ribosomal RNA". It matches the Rfam family "Bacterial small subunit ribosomal RNA", at positions 899 to 1397 of the family's 1533-position model. The record is from RNAcentral.
ACUCAAAUGAAUAGACGGGGGCCCGCACAAGCGGUGGAGCAUGUGGUUUAAUUCGAUGCAACGCGAAGAACCUUACCUACUCUUGACAUCCUACGAAUCUGGCUGAGAGGCUGGAGUGCCGCAAGGAGCGUAGAGACAGGUGCUGCAUGGCUGUCGUCAGCUCGUGUUGUGAGAUGUUGGGUUAAGUCCCGUAACGAGCGCAACCCUUAUCCUUAGUUACCAUCGAGUAAAGUCGGGAACUCUAAGGAGACUGCCGGUGAUGAAUCGGAGGAAGGUGGGGACGACGUCAAGUCAUCAUGGCCUUUAUGAGUAGGGCUACACACGUGCUACAAUGGGGCGUACAGAGGGUAGCCAACCCGCGAGGGGGAGCCAAUCCCGCAAAGCGUCUCGUAGUCCGGAUUGGAGUCUGCAACUCGACUCCAUGAAGUUGGAAUCGCUAGUAAUCGCGAAUCAGCAUUGUCGCGGUGAAUACGUUCCCGGGCCUUGUACACACCGCCCGU